AAAAAGACAAACCCUGGUUUCCGUGCCCAAUGUUUGACCGUUCGUCUUAUUUGAAAAAAUUAUGAAAAAAAUUAAAAAGACAAGUCACGCACAAAGUAUUAAUCAUGUUUUAUCAUCUAACAAUAAUAAAAAUAAUAAUUAUAAAAAAAUUUCAUAUAAGACGGACAGUCAAAGUUGGACACGCAAACCUAGGGUUUGCCUUUUU
This 205-nucleotide microRNA precursor is filed under the name Oryza sativa Japonica Group (Japanese rice). RNAcentral's name for it is "MIR812 microRNA precursor family". It matches the Rfam family "MIR812 microRNA precursor family". Lineage: Eukaryota; Viridiplantae; Streptophyta; Magnoliopsida; Poales; Poaceae. The record is from Rfam by way of RNAcentral.